This 224-nucleotide unclassified non-coding RNA is filed under the name plant metagenome. Its description in RNAcentral is "partial contains small subunit ribosomal RNA, internal transcribed spacer 1, and 5.8S ribosomal RNA". The record is from RNAcentral.
UCUCCGUUGGUGAACCAGCGGAGGGAUCAUUACAGGACUCGCAAGACUCCUUCACCCUGUGAACCUCACUGCAAGCACGUUGCUUCGGCGGGUGUCCCGGCGGGGGUUUUCCCUUGCCGGGGCGCACAGCCCGCCGGCAGCCUACUAUACUCUGUCUCUUUGCGUUGGCAUCUCGAGAAAAAACAAACAAGUUAAAACUUUCAACAACGGAUCUCUUGGUUCUG